Long non-coding RNA from Zonotrichia leucophrys gambelii, 1042 nucleotides. RefSeq lists it as uncharacterized. The record is from RefSeq and is a predicted model, not a curated record. NCBI's taxonomy places the organism in Eukaryota, Metazoa, Chordata, Aves, Passeriformes, Passerellidae. The transcript has 2 exons.
UAGGAGUCAAAAGACCAGAUUCAGAAAGAUUUGCCCUGGAUUGAGAAAAGCCAGAGAGAUGGUGUUGCAAAGAACUUGGGCCAACAUCCAGAAAAGUCCAUGUGGUAGAAGUUACCUUUUCCUCACAGUCAGGAGAAACUUCUAACCAGCAUUUUGUUUUAUCUGCCAGCCCAGGUGCUUUCAUUGAUCCCCUAAGCAGCAAACCUGUGCACUGCAAAGACAUGCUUGGAUCAGUGCUUUCCCUUGCCUUAGUUUCAAAGGUGGUAAUUGAAACACAGGCAAGAUUUAAUAAAGGACCAAAGACUCUAAAAGGAGCUGCAGCAGAGUGGAGAUGGCAGCUCAGCUGAGCUCCAGUUCAGAACCCCCACCUGAAAUCCAUUUGUCCUCCACAGCUGAGUGCCUGAGCACACUGCCUAAAUACCUACACAUGGCAUCCAGUCUGUGGAUCCAAAAAAGAAAGAGUUCUCUCCACUCUUUCUGCUUGUAAACAUAAGCAAGCCCUGCAUUCCUUGCUAUUAAAAGACAUGAGCUGGUACCAAACAUUACCAAGAGGUCUUCAGAUUUCUCAAGAGACCAGAGCUCCCAGCCUUCAAUGCCAGAGGACAAAUCCGAUUUAAUUCAUGAUCUCAGAAACCCUGUGGCUUCACAAAAUCCCUUAUCCCAUCUCCUACCUCCAAGCCACACACAGAUUAUUCUAUGAUCCUAUUCAAUGACCAGAAGAAGACUAAUCUAUCUGUCAUAAAGCCUGCUGGCCUCUGGCAAGCCCCAGGGCUCAGGAAGAGCUGGAAACCACGCAGCCUGGGGUACUCUUCUCCUUCUUCCCAUGUAGGCGGGAGGAAGGAGAAGAGUAAACUGGGGAUUUGUCCUAAAUGAGCUUUUGAAUUGUCCUUGGGCUCUUGUGUUCUCCUGUGAGGGGAUCCUGGGCUGUGCUGGGAGAGGCUCUCCUCUCCUCUCCCUUCAGCUGUUCUUCCUGCACAUGGAGAGACAGGCCAGCUUUACCAGCCUGUGCCACCAUUGCCAUGCCAGGGGCAGGGAUUUUCCC